GAUGAACGCUGGCGGCGUGCCUAACACAUGCAAGUCGAGCGAGAUAAAUGUGAGUGGAGACUUCGGUCAAAGCAAUCAUUUUGAAAGCGGCGGACGGGUGAGUAACGCGUGAGCAAUCUGCCCCAUACAAAGGGAUACCCACUGGAAACGGUGAUUAAUACCUUAUAAGACCACGAAGUCGCCUGGCUUAGUGGCCAAAGAUUUAUCGGUAUGGGAUGAGCUCGCGUCUGAUUAGCUAGUUGGUGAGGUAAUGGCUCACCAAGGCGACGAUCAGUAGCCGGCCUGAGAGGGUGAACGGCCACACUGGAACUGAGACACGGUCCAGACUCCUACGGGAGGCAGCAGUGGGGAAUAUUGCACAAUGGGCGCAAGCCUGAUGCAGCAACGCCGCGUGAAUGAUGAAGGCCUUCGGGUCGUAAAGUUCUGUCCUAAGGGAAGAAUACAGUGACGGUACCUUAGGAGGAAGCCCCGGCUAACUACGUGCCAGCCGCCGCCGUAA
RNAcentral lists this ribosomal RNA (499 nucleotides) under uncultured bacterium. Its description in RNAcentral is "partial 16S ribosomal RNA". It matches the Rfam family "Bacterial small subunit ribosomal RNA", at positions 28 to 523 of the family's 1533-position model. The record is from RNAcentral.